This 911-nucleotide ribosomal RNA is filed under the name uncultured bacterium. RNAcentral describes it as "bacterial SSU rRNA". It matches the Rfam family "Bacterial small subunit ribosomal RNA", at positions 8 to 916 of the family's 1533-position model. The record is from RNAcentral.
AGAGUUUGAUCAUGGCUCAGAUUGAACGCUGGCGGUAUGCUUAACACAUGCAAGUCGAACGGUAACAGGCCUUCGGGCGCUGACGAGUGGCGGACGGGUGAGUAACGCGUAGGAAUCUGCCUUGUAGUGGGGGACAACGUGGGGAAACCCACGCUAAUACCGCAUACGCCCUACGGGGGAAAGCGGGGGAUCGUAAGACCUCGCGCUAUGAGAUGAGCCUGCGUUAGAUUAGCUAGUUGGUAGGGUAAAGGCCUACCAAGGCGACGAUCUAUAGCUGGUCUGAGAGGACGAUCAGCCACACUGGGACUGAGACACGGCCCAGACUCCUACGGGAGGCAGCAGUGGGGAAUAUUGGACAAUGGGCGCAAGCCUGAUCCAGCAAUACCGCGUGUGUGAAGAAGGCCCUAGGGUUGUAAAGCACUUUCAAUUGGGAGGAAAACCUGCCGGUCAAUACCCGGUAGCUUGACAUUACCUUUAGAAGAAGCACCGGCUAACUCCGUGCCAGCAGCCGCGGUAAUACGGAGGGUGCGAGCGUUAAUCGGAAUUACUGGGCGUAAAGCGUGCGUAGGUGGUUCGUUAAGUCAGAUGUGAAAGCCCCGGGCUCAACCUGGGAACUGCAUUUGAAACUGGCGGACUAGAGUUGAGUAGAGGGGAGUGGAAUUUCAGGUGUAGCGGUGAAAUGCGUAGAUAUCUGAAGGAACACCAGUGGCGAAGGCGACUCCCUGGACUCAAACUGACGCUGAGGUACGAAAGCGUGGGUAGCAAACAGGAUUAGAUACCCUGGUAGUCCACGCCGUAAACGAUGUCAACUAGCCGUUGGUCCUAUAUACAGGAUUAGUGGCGCAGCUAACGCAUUAAGUUGACCGCCUGGGGAGUACGGCCGCAAGGUUAAAACUCAAAGGAAUUGACGG